Molecule: ribosomal RNA, 495 nt
Filed under: uncultured bacterium
Lineage: Bacteria
Description: partial 16S ribosomal RNA
Rfam family: Bacterial small subunit ribosomal RNA
Source: RNAcentral
GAUGAACGCUGGCGGCGUGCCUAAUACAUGCAAGUAGAACGCUGAAGGAGGAGCUUGCUCUUCUGGAUGAGUUGCGAACGGGUGAGUAACGCGUAGGUAACCUGCCUGGUAGCGGGGGAUAACUAUUGGAAACGAUAGCUAAUACCGCAUGACAACAGUUAUUGCAUGAUAACUGUUUAAAAGGGGCAACUGCUCCACUACCAGAUGGACCUGCGUUGUAUUAGCUAGUUGGUGAGGUAACGGCUCACCAAGGCGACGAUACAUAGCCGACCUGAGAGGGGGAUCGGCCACACUGGGACUGAGACCCGGCCCAGACUCCUACGGGAGGCAGCAGUAGGGAAUCUUCGGCAAUGGACGGAAGUCUGACCGAGCAACGCCGCGUGAGUGAAGAAGGUUUUCGGAUCGUAAAGCUCUGUUGUAAGAGAAGAACGAGUGUGAGAGUGGAAAGUUCACACUGUGACGGUAUCUUACCAGAAAGGGACGGCUAACUACGUG